This 253-nucleotide ribosomal RNA is filed under the name uncultured bacterium. RNAcentral describes it as "partial 16S ribosomal RNA". It matches the Rfam family "Bacterial small subunit ribosomal RNA", at positions 524 to 776 of the family's 1533-position model. The record is from RNAcentral.
GACAGAGGGGGCAAGCGUUGCUCGGAAUUACUGGGCGUAAAGCGCGCGUAGGUGGUUCGUUAAGUUGGAUGUGAAAUCCCCGGGCUCAACCUGGGAACUGCAUUCAAAACUGUCGAGCUAGAGUAUGGUAGAGGGUGGUGGAAUUUCCUGUGUAGCGGUGAAAUGCGUAGAUAUCGAGAGGAACACCUGCGGCGAAGGCGGGUUGCUGGGCUGACACUGACGCUGAAACGCGAAAGCUAGGGGAGCGAACGGG